Molecule: RNA transcript, 454 nt
Organism: Pecten maximus
Lineage: Eukaryota; Metazoa; Mollusca; Bivalvia; Pectinida; Pectinidae
Gene name: serine protease inhibitor Cvsi-1-like
Exons: 4
Source: RefSeq, a predicted model, not a curated record
ACGACUGGUAUUCUAACAAGGACCCAUCAGACACCAUGAAUACUCUUACCUGCUUGGUUCUGGCAGCAUGUGUUGCCCUCGCGGUCAGUGAGACUUGCACCGAUGUCAACUCAUGCACGGACACGACUUGUAAUACAGGAAAGAAAGAAUGUGUCGCAAUACAGGGUCAGCACCUGUGCACGUGCAUUCACAGCAACCAACAUAACGUCGCCUGUACCACCGUCAGCGAUUGCUCUUCUGAUAACUUCAGCUGUGAUCAUCAUGGCGCUAACACACCAUCACACUGUGUAGACAACUUUUGUAGAUGUGAAGGGCAAGGUCAUAACCAUGGCAACCACGGUGACCAUCAUUUUCCUGGAGGACACCAACCAGCCGGAGGACAACAACCCCAAAACUAAGGUAAAAGUCUACAUGCCAACUCGACAAGAAAGUAAAUAAAGUUGUACUUACUUCA